RNAcentral lists this ribosomal RNA (1113 nucleotides) under Triticum aestivum (bread wheat). RNAcentral's name for it is "partial small subunit ribosomal RNA". Lineage: Eukaryota; Viridiplantae; Streptophyta; Magnoliopsida; Poales; Poaceae. The record is from RNAcentral.
AUGAGCACACGCCGAAGAGCAGGCAAGUCUCGUCCUAAACCAACCCUAGACCAAUCCCUAAAACCUAGGCCUCCUGUCUCAUCCAACGCGUCUCCGCCGCCGCCACUCUCUCCCUCCUCUUCCCCACCCAGCCAACGAACCCCUUCCUGCUCCCCUUCUCCACCCUUGGAUGAAGAUCCAAGGGAUCUCCUCGCGCCAGCCAGGGCCUUCCCGCAGCUUUCCUCGCACUGGACCGGGAGGAGCCCGGUCUCCCGAGCGCCUCCUCGCCGCAUCGCGCCGGCCGACCGCCGACGACCCGAGACCAGGCGCCACAAGCAGAUGAGCCCCUACCUUCUCUCAGGAACCACACGCCAUGGCUGGAGCUCCACGCCCCGCCUUCCUCGCCUCGCUGCCGCAGCAACAACAGCAGUUCGCCAAGCCCCGGCACCGCUCCUCCUCUGCCCACCACCUUUGGCAGUCGCCGCCGCCGACCAGCAGAUGCGCUGCCGCCGUCCGUUCGUCUACAGCGACCUCCGGCCUCGCCCGCGCCGGCCCCGCCGCAAGCCGCCCUGCUCUCUGUGCUCGCCGUCGCUGCCAUCCCGUGCGCCCGCCUCUGUUCGCCUGCAGCGAGCGACAGAGACAUCCCCGUGCCCGUUGACCGCAUCGGCCAGCUGCGUGGGCCGCGCCAGACCCAACUGCCUCCCCUCCAGCUCCUGGGCCGAGCCCAUGGCAGGCAUUCAGCCACCGGGCGACAAUGGCGGCGGCAGCGACCUCCGGGCUCCUACUCCGGAAGGAGCUUCAUCGGAGAAUGCAAGAAGACCGGGGAGUGGGAGCGCUCGCUGCUCUGCUCUGGGCUGGGCUUUGGGGUCGCUUCCUUUGCGCCACCAGGAUGGAGGCGACCGGAGGGAGGGAGCAACGACGACGAUGCAACACCUCCUCUGCGCCUAUAAAUACAGCAGAAGCCAUUAUCUAUCGAUCAAUCAAACCGCUUCGGCUAUCAAUCGUCUCAAUCGUUCCUCCCUCCCGCUAACAACAGAAGAGAAGAGAACAGGCUCCCUUCUUCCUCCCCACCCGUCUUCCCUGCCCGGUUCCGGCUGCCCCCCACCCCACCUCCAACGCCAUGGCCGCUGUUAG